GUUCCGGUUCAUUUGCACACGGCCCGCUGCGCACGUGCAGGUUAGCCUGAGCUAAUUGCAAAGUUUGGAGGACACCUGAUGCAAAACGAUGAAAGCUUGCUUGGUUUUCUCAAAUUUAGUCGCUUUGCAGUAAAUUUAUCAAGACGUUUUUGGAAUAUGUCGUGUUAUACAGAAGGGGAAACCAAAUGGAAACUUUUUGUUGUUUUUUCACUUUGGACGUUGGCCAUUAAUGGCGCACAUCCACUUUCCUCAUCUCAGCAGGAAGUAAAAUGGGAGCCUGGCACAAGCCGCUUCUGCCCAACACUGUACCAAGUUCAGUGCUUCAAUGGAAAACGGAACAUCUCACCUGAACUAUCAGGAAAUGUGUCGUGCCAUGUGUCUCUACUUAGGCAACCUUCCAGUGAUGUUUUACGCCGUUGAUGAAGAGGUUGAAGGCAAUGAUUAGGUGGGCUGGAAAAGAGUCAACGCUGUGAAGAAGCUGCAGGAGAAUCCCAGCAGAUUGAUUCUGAUUGAUUUCCAGAUCAGUUUGAUGCAAAGACUCAGCUCUCCUCCACACAGGUCAGGGAUCAUUAAAGUCCUGCCCCAUUCACAUCAUCACUCCACAAACUGUAUCAACGUUGUUCAAAGUAGUCAGUGAAAAGUGUCUGUAUCUACAUUAUUUAAUUCACUGCCAGUGUUUGGUUCUUGGUACUAUUUGGGGCUCUACAACGAUGUUUUCCAACCUUUUUGGCUUGAAACACCUUAAACUAAAUGCUGUGUACUUUUUGACAUUGAAUAAUCGGUAAUAAACUCAGUUUUUUCUAUGCCAGCACCCUUUCCUGUGGUAAUAAUACACCAUUUCCAUCCAGCUCCAUGUGUUUAAAUCUGUGUUCUCAGUUUGUGAGGGUUUGGAGUUUUAGUCGGACAGCGAGGCUACGUUAAGACAAGUUCACUUUAAUGAGAAAAGUUUAGCAAAAUACAUUAUAUUGAUUAUCUGGUUGAUUCUUUAGCAGUGCGUUGUAUUUUCAAAGCUCGUUAUAUUAUCCAUUGUGUCAAAUCUUAAUCUUUGCAGGUAGACAGUCACUGUAGACUCAUCCAAUCAGAAUGUUGAUCAUUUCUCAAUAGAUUUACAUUUUGUUUCAUUGCAGAAAGGAAAUUCUUAAAAGCCGUUCCAAUGUCAUGUCCAUUUUGUAUAGUCUUCCCCUCCUCAUUGUAGUUUGAAGUGGGUGGGUGACAGAACAUGUGGUACUGACCACCAGCACAAACAAUAAAAUGAGAUCACUUAGUUGUAUAAACUUUGCUCUCACAUCCUUCUCAUCGUCACCCUUGAGUGGUGAAUUCAAGCCACCUCUUGCCUACGCUGUGUAAAUUAUCAUAUGAAUAAAGGUACAUUCAUUGAGGAACAAUGACUCUUCUUUUGUGUUUUGUUGCUUUUCAUUCAACAUUAAUACAUUGUUUUGCUUGUCUUGUUAUUGCAGCAUUUAC
Molecule: long non-coding RNA, 1464 nt
Organism: Amphiprion ocellaris (clown anemonefish)
Lineage: Eukaryota; Metazoa; Chordata; Actinopteri; Pomacentridae
Source: Ensembl